AUUGAACGCUGGCGGCAGGCCUAACACAUGCAAGUCGAGCGAGCGGCGGACGGGUGAGUAAUGUCUGGGAAACUGCCUGAUGGAGGGGGAUAACUACUGGAAACGGUAGCUAAUACCGCAUACCAUCAGAUGUGCCCAGGGGGGAUUAGCUGGUAGGGGGGGUAACGGCUCACCUAGGCGACGCUCCCUAGCUGGUCUGAGAGGAUGAACAGCCAAACAGGAACUGAAACACGGUCCAGACUCCUACGAGAGGCAGCAGUGGGGAAUAGUGCACAAUGGGCGAAAGCCAGAUGCAGCAAUGCCGAGUGUGUGACGAAGGCCUUCGGGUUGGAAAGAACUUUCAGCAGGGAAGCGUUACCCGCAGAAGAAGCACCGGCUAACUCCGUGCCAGCAGACGCGGUAAUAC
Molecule: ribosomal RNA, 406 nt
Filed under: uncultured bacterium
Lineage: Bacteria
Description: partial 16S ribosomal RNA
Rfam family: Bacterial small subunit ribosomal RNA
Source: RNAcentral